CUUUCUCUAAAGGCACUGGUGAACCAGUUAAUCUUGAUGACUGUGAUGCUUUCAGAUAAUUUGAGUGGAAGGCAUUUAGGAGGAAAGCACUUUUCUUGUGCAUGCUGAGAGGGCGGACAUGCUGGGGGAGGUGGCCUGAUAACUCUCAGCUAAUCUCAGGACCAAGAGAAUGGCAAGAUCCCUGUGACAGUUCUGUUUAUAGCACUUCACUUCUAGCAGUUUGUGUGCCGUGGCAAGUCUUCACUGAGAGCCUCAUGAGUUCACAGAUUCCAGCAGAAGCGAACCAGACACUAACCUCCCCAGGAUAAUAACUGCAGGAGGAAAACAAAAAUUCUCUAUUAGGGUCUAUGACUUCUCCUUCAGAAGCGGAUGAAUGUUAGCUGAUCCUUAGAGGGUGAAAUUUAAGUCACUGAUAAAAUCUUACUUCAGUGUGACUGAGUUGUUCCUCAGGGUUUUUAUAGAUGGUUAUUAACUAAGUCACCCAACAGAGAGGUUGGUUUUUAUCACUUUUAAAGGAACUUCUGCCCAAGCCAUUGAGCUUACUAAAGGCUACUUAAAUAAGCUGUUUGUAGUUGCUGCUGAUUGUUUCCUGCUGUUUAUGUAAUGGACUAAAUAUAUUUAUAAAACCAGUUUCUGUUCACCUGUGACUAGCAUUAAUGCAUUUGGUUAUUUUACUUCCCUUACCACUGUCUUGUAACUCUGAACAGACUAAUAUGUGUUGUAGUCUGCUUUCCAACUUCACUGCACGUUCAGUUUUGCCUUCUUUUAGCAGGCUCCCCCCCAAAUCAUGUAACCCACAGCUUGUCUUACAUUUUCCAUUUCCAGCAAGUUUGUAGAUAUUUGUAAAGAUUUGCAACACAACACACACACACAUACAGACACACAAACACUUUUUCCUUGCUGGCAAUCCUUGUACUUUAUUCUGCAUUUCUAAUUUUUCUUUAGCGUUUGUACAUAACUGUACAGUAAAAUAUAGAAGGAUAAGGAGGAACGCUUAGAGGUUAUUGAAGAAGGUUGUUAUCGAAUAAGAAGGUUAUUGCCUAUGCUAUUUGAUAUUCUGUAUAAUUUGAUCAGGAUGAGCAUAUUCAUUGCUCAGUUUUAGAUGCUGCAAGUAUUGCUACUCGCAUCAUGUAUUAGCUCUCUUUAUAGAAGAUUGCAUCUUCUCUCUCCAGAAAGCGAGAAUUUCAUGGACGUUUUGACUGUUUAUAUGAUAAUGCAGCAAAUAAACUGGACAACUACAGAAAUAAAUAAGGAUUC
This 1257-nucleotide long non-coding RNA is filed under the name Anas platyrhynchos platyrhynchos (common mallard). RNAcentral's name for it is "lncRNA (ENSAPLG00000024500.1)". Lineage: Eukaryota; Metazoa; Chordata; Aves; Anseriformes; Anatidae. The record is from RNAcentral.